GACGAACGCUGGCGGCGUGCUUAACACAUGCAAGUCGAACGGAAAGGCCCUGCUUUUGUGGGGUGCUCGAGUGGCGAACGGGUGAGUAACACGUGAGUAACCUGCCCUUGACUUUGGGAUAACUUCAGGAAACUGGGGCUAAUACCGGAUAGGAGCUCCUGCUGCAUGGUGGGGGUUGGAAAGUUUCGGCGGUUGGGGAUGGACUCGCGGCUUAUCAGCUUGUUGGUGGGGUAGUGGCUUACCAAGGCUUUGACGGGUAGCCGGCCUGAGAGGGUGACCGGCCACAUUGGGACUGAGAUACGGCCCAGACUCCUACGGGAGGCAGCAGUGAGGAAUAUUGCACAAUGGGCGGAGGCCUGAUGCAGCAACGCCGCGUGCGGGAUGACGGCCUUCGGGUUGUAAACCGCUUUCGCCUGUGACGAAGCGUGAGUGACGGUAAUGGGUAAAGAAGCACCGGCUAACUACGUG
Molecule: ribosomal RNA, 468 nt
Filed under: uncultured bacterium
Lineage: Bacteria
Description: partial 16S ribosomal RNA
Rfam family: Bacterial small subunit ribosomal RNA
Source: RNAcentral